AGCUCCACGGCGACCGCAGCAGUAAAGGAACAUCUCAUCUGCCAAGGAGGACGGAGAGGGGACAGACCGGAGAGGAGACACAGCUGGCCACUUCAGGGGUGGGGCUGUUAUAUCAUUAGACACCGCUCCCACAAUGGGAAAAUGCAGUGGGUCUGUGAUUCCGGUGAUUUUCUCCCUAUCCUGCAUCAAUACUAAUCGGGCGGGGUGCGAGAGAGCCGCCUGCGGGGGACUAGCCGAAAAAUUAAUAAAGUAAAUCCUGCCUGCCGGACCCCACUGUUCGGUAGAGGAGAAACUGGGAUGGUUGUAGAAAAUUCAUGGUUGAAUAAAA
This is a long non-coding RNA of Pseudophryne corroboree (corroboree frog), 328 nucleotides long. RefSeq lists it as uncharacterized. The record is from RefSeq and is a predicted model, not a curated record. The transcript has 3 exons. NCBI's taxonomy places the organism in Eukaryota, Metazoa, Chordata, Amphibia, Anura, Myobatrachidae.